Long non-coding RNA from Hemicordylus capensis (graceful crag lizard), 3682 nucleotides. RefSeq lists it as uncharacterized. The record is from RefSeq and is a predicted model, not a curated record. The transcript is spliced from 2 exons. Lineage: Eukaryota; Metazoa; Chordata; Lepidosauria; Squamata; Cordylidae.
GCAAGGAACUAUAGAUCUGGACCAAGUUGGGUACUGGAUGUAGACAAUCUGUAUCUCAUUCUGGAUGUAGACAAUUGUGACAAGUUUUUAGACAUCACCCCAUAAGUAACUCAGCAGGGUUGACUCAUUGAUCAAGAAGCAACACAUUGAGCAAUCAGAAGCUUGGCAAGACAUGUUGGCUGGCCAGUCUUGUCCAACAAUUGGCUUCAGGGCAUCCUUUGUUGUCUGCACCAUCCGUUCAACCUGUCCAUUUCCUUGAGGAUGAUGAGGUACAAUUGUGACAGCCCAGAUAAGUGUAGGGGACCCACGGGAGACUGCCACGGAACGCCUGGCUCUGCCGCCCCUUUGUUCGGGGCUACCACUGCCUUUUGCGGCUGACCGUGCUGCCGGCACAGCCGAACACACAGAAUUGGCUGGCCCCCUUGGCCAGAUGGCCUUUUGCCAUCUGACAACGAAAACGACAAAGUCUUGCAAGACUCCCUCAGGAACUCUCACAAGAGUUCCAGCGAGACCAGGAACUCUCGCGAGAACAUGUGUGAGACUUCCCUGCUAUAUAAAGGCAGGUUGGCCCAUGGUGAGGGCCAGAUGGGCACGGGCUGCCCUUGAGGAGGGAGCCCCAGGAGCCAGGCCCAGGGCUAGAUAAAGGCCCCUGAUCAUGCUGUGAGGUAACAGAUGACAGGAGCAGCCAACACUAUGGCCUGAAACUCUGAAGCCAGAACUAACCUGAUAGUCCCAAGCAGUCGGACCCUCUUGGCCCUGUCACCGGGCCUCACAAUAAGGUAUCUGUUCAUAAAGUAACCAAGAAGCCAUGAAGCCAUAUUGACUUUGCAAGACCAUUUCAGGGAAAGACCUGCCUGAUUGUGGUAGACUCUUGUUUGAAAUGGCUUGAAGUGGUCUUAGUGCCCUCACAAACAUCUGCACUGCACAUUACAGAACUGCACCACUUAUUUGCAACCCAUGGAUUACCUGACACUGUGAAACCAUUGUCUGAGACGACAGUGUGGGAGGCCCCACAGUCAAGUCAAAAGGACAGCUUGCUUUUGAUCAGGGCGAACCAUUUUGUUUGCUUCAAGAUAAAAGAAAACCCUCUCUACAUAUGAAUCCCAGGAACUAGGCUGACUAAAAUCAAACUCUUCAAUGUGUCCAAGAGCAGCCAUUUAGCACAGGAUCUGCUCAGGUUUUCAAUUAGGGGCUUAUUUCAAACUGCUUACCAGUAGCACUUGAAAACAGAUUCACACUUCCUGCUGGUCUUUAGCUUAGUGGUGCAUUUUUGCACGGACCACGGGGCAGGAGUCCGUGGCCUCCUGCCUCCUGGGGGGCCUUCCCAGAGCCCCGAUGCCCCACCGCUAUUUCCUCUUCAGCAGCCACUUACCACUCACCCACUGGCAGCAGCUGCGGCAUGCACAGGCGGGUCUCCCUGGCCUACAGACCGGCCUCCUCGAGUCUGCAGACCAGCCUCCUCUGUCUACGCGCAUGCGCAGUAGGAGUUAUGGAGUGUUGCAUCCCGUCAUGCAUGCAGACAAAGGAGGCCGGUCUGCAGGCCCGAGGCCCGCCUGCACCCACCCGCUGGCCCACUAGUGCCAGGGUGAGUGGCGGUGGGGCUGGGCAGCAGCAUAUUUUUUAAAAAAUAAAAAUAAAGCGGGGCCUCGCAGUGGGGAGCCCUCUGAAGCCUUUGACCCAGGUGCCAAAAAUAUCUAGGUGUUCCUCUGCUUCAGCUCGCAGCUGAUCCCAUCUUAGUUGCCAAAAGUGCUGUGUUGGUAGCAGGAAAAAUGCUACCAGCUGCAGAGGUCCAAAAAGCACAAUUAAACAAAAUAGUGCCCCCUGGCAUACAUAACAGUUUACUCGCUUAUUUUUUCUCAGGUAGGAUAAGAACCUGCUGACAAAUCUAUCAUCUAUAAAUUUAUUCAAUCCUCUUUUAAAGCCAUUUAAGACCAUGGCCAUUACUACCAUUUUGUUGCAGCAAAGUCAAUAGAUCAAUAAUAUGUUGUGUGAAAAAGUCAUUUCUCUUGUUUGUCUUGAAUCUACUGCCAGUCAAGUCCAUUAGGGUGACCCCAGAAUCUACUGUAGUCUUGAGAGGAAGAUAAAUUCUUCACUGUCCAUUACAGCUACACCAUGCGUGAUUUUAAAACUUCUAUCAUACUCUCCCUGCUCAAUUGUCUUUCCCCCCCUAAGAUAAAUAGCCCCCAAACACAUUAACUUUUCCUUGCCAGGAAAUGGUUCAGUCUAGGAACUUACUAUUUAUACUGGCACAGUUGUGUCAGUAUAGUUAAGAUGAGGAGCAGGCGCGUAACAAUGAUAGGGCAAGGGGAGACAGUUGUCUGGGGGCCCCACUGCCUGGAGGGGCACCCCAGAGGCACCUCAUGUGACUCCCCAUUGCCCCCUGCCCAGCCCCAUAGCCUCUCAGCCACUUGCCCUCUUCGCCGUCUCUCCUGCUUGUUCUGCUGGCCGCAAUCGAAGCAGCAGGCAAGCUGCAAAGAGCUCCUUUUCUCCCGCCUCUCAGCUGAUCGGCGGGUGGGCGGGGCUUCCACGGAGGCCUCCGUGUAGGCCGCAGUGAAGCCUGAACUCGAGUAGGGCCCAAGCAAGCCAGGAAGGAGGAAGCAGCCAGAGUGUUCUCUGCAGCAGAAGACCCCUUGCUGCCCUGCUUAACCCAGACCAGCAUUUGCCAGACAGGUGCCAGAAAGUCUGAGGACAAGAGAAGAUGCCCAUUUGCAAACUCAGAGAUGCAGAUUUGCUUUGGGAAUGUCAACAGAGCAAUGUUCUUCCCAACAACUGUUAAUAGGAGAUGGAACCCAGAUCCUGUUUACCCUGGACUGACUUAAUAUCCUGAACUGAUCAAUAAUUAGAAGACAGGAUCUAGAGGGUAACAGCAAUUAACACCUUUUGUGAUGCAAGAAGAAUGAUGAUAUUUUGAAUAGACUCUAUGGAGAUCAAAUGAUGGAACAACUAUAAGAACAGAGCCCACCAGACAGAGAGCAGCAAGCUUUGCCUAACCAGCAGAUCUUUGCUCAUGUGUGCAUUCCAAGUGCCUGCUAUCUAGCUGCAGAGCUAACAGAGGCCUGAAACCUGCAGACAAGAGACUGCUCAGUGAUUCUUGCCACGGGGCGAAGAAUCAAGGGCUAACUCUGUCUGUGGGAAGAGUAUGUGGGUUUCAGGUUCCCUCCCUGGCAUCUCCAAGAUAGGGCUGAGAGAGAUUCCUGCCUGCAGCCUUGGAGAAGCCGCUGCCAGUCUGUGUAGACAAUAUUGAGCUAGAUGGACCAACGGUCUGACUCAGUAUAUGGCAGCUUCCUAUGUUCCUAUGAAGGCUCAUCAUUCCCAAGCCUCGUAUCCAAGCAGUGUACACUUGCUGCCCCACAUCGGACCCCGGUAAAUAUGCUGCUUCUACAGCCUUGGUUUCCACUUCCCUUACCCCUUCUUACUACUGAUUCCCAACCAUCCCAUUCCUGUGCCUUCCUUACCUCCCCCCUCUCUCUUUCCAUCUAUAUCUGAAUUGUGUUAGGUUUUAGGAAGAUUUAAUACUGACCUUAUAUGCAUCCAGACAUAUGUGAUAGUUAUGUCACUGGGUUGAUGUUAUUACUAGCUAUGGCUGAAAUAUUACUAGUAGUUCUGAUUGAUUGUUCUGUUUUCUGCUCAGUUAGAUUGAUGCUGUUGCUCUUUUAUACUCAGUAAAGCCCUUUGAUUUGUU